CCAGACUCCUACGGGAGGCAGCAGUGAGGAAUAUUGGUCAAUGGGCGGAAGCCUGAACCAGCCAAGUCGCGUGAGGGAUGACGGCCCUAUGGGUUGUAAACCUCUUUUGCCGGGGAGCAAAGUGCCGCACGUGUGCGGUUUGGAGAGUACCCGGAGAAAAAGCAUCGGCUAACUCCGUGCCAGCAGCCGCGGUAAUACGGAGGAUGCGAGCGUUAUCCGGAUUUAUUGGGUUUAAAGGGUGCGUAGGCGGGCUGUUAAGUCAGCGGUAAAAGCCCGGGGCUCACCCCCGGCGAGCCGUUGAAACUGGCUGUCUUGAGAUGUCGAGAGGUAUGCGGAAUGCGCAGUGUAGCGGUGAAAUGCUUAGAUAUCACGCAGAACUCCGAUUGCGAAGGCAGCAUACCGGCGCCCUACUGACGCUGAGGCACGAAAGCGUGGGUAUCGAACAGGAUUAGAUACCCCCGUACG
Molecule: ribosomal RNA, 465 nt
Filed under: uncultured bacterium
Lineage: Bacteria
Description: bacterial SSU rRNA
Rfam family: Bacterial small subunit ribosomal RNA
Source: RNAcentral